This 99-nucleotide ribosomal RNA is filed under the name Vibrio metoecus. Lineage: Bacteria; Pseudomonadati; Pseudomonadota; Gammaproteobacteria; Vibrionales; Vibrionaceae. The record is from RNAcentral.
CUUGGCGACCAUAGCGUUUUGGACCCACCUGAUUCCAUCCCGAACUCAGAAGUGAAACGAAACAGCGUCGAUGGUAGUGUGGGGUUUCCCCAUGUGAGA